RNAcentral lists this ribosomal RNA (121 nucleotides) under Onchocerca flexuosa. The record is from RNAcentral. Lineage: Eukaryota; Metazoa; Nematoda; Chromadorea; Rhabditida; Onchocercidae.
GUUUACGAACAUAAUCACAUUGAAAGUACGACAUCUCGUCAGAUCUGUCAAGUUAAGCAACAUUAGGUUUCUGGUUAGAAGUUAAAUUGGCGACGGUCGGGAAUUGCAAGUGUUGGAAACA